Molecule: ribosomal RNA, 450 nt
Filed under: uncultured bacterium
Lineage: Bacteria
Description: partial 16S ribosomal RNA
Rfam family: Bacterial small subunit ribosomal RNA
Source: RNAcentral
GUUAGGAAUAUUGGACAAUGGGCGCAAGCCUGAUCCAGCAAUGCCGCGUGCAGGAAGAAGGCCUUCGGGUUGUAAACUGCUUUUGUACGGAACGAAACGGUCCUGGUUAAUACCUGGGGCUAAUGACGGUACCGUAAGAAUAAGCACCGGCUAACUACGUGCCAGCAGCCGCGGUAAUACGUAGGGUGCGAGCGUUAAUCGGAAUUACUGGGCGUAAAGCGUGCGCAGGCGGUGCUGUAAGACAGGCGUGAAAUCCCCGGGCUCAACCUGGGAAUUGCGCUUGUGACUGCAGUGCUGGAGUACGGCAGAGGGGGAUGGAAUUCCGCGUGUAGCAGUGAAAUGCGUAGAUAUGCGGAGGAACACCGAUGGCGAAGGCAGUCCCCUGGGCCUGUACUGACGCUCAUGCACGAAAGCGUGGGGAGCAAACAGGAUUAGAAACCCUGGUAGUCC